Molecule: transfer RNA, 63 nt
Filed under: uncultured Eubacterium sp.
Lineage: Bacteria; Bacillati; Bacillota; Clostridia; Eubacteriales; Eubacteriaceae
Rfam family: tRNA
About the family: Transfer RNA (tRNA) molecules are approximately 80 nucleotides in length.
Source: RNAcentral
CCGUAGCGCAGUUGGUAGCGCAACUGAUUCGUAAUCAGUAGGUCGUCGGUUCGAGUCCGAUCG